Molecule: ribosomal RNA, 494 nt
Filed under: uncultured bacterium
Lineage: Bacteria
Description: partial 16S ribosomal RNA
Rfam family: Bacterial small subunit ribosomal RNA
Source: RNAcentral
GACGAACGCUGGCGGCGCGCUUAACACAUGCAAGUCGAACGGAAAGGCCUGCUUUCCCUUGUGGAUUGCGGGUACUCGAGUGGCGAACGGGUGAGUAACACGUGAGUGAUCUGCCCCCAACUUGGGUAUAAGCCUGGGAAACUGGGUCUAAUUCCCGAUAGGACUGCAGGGUGGUGCCUGUGGUGGAAAACGAUUUUCUAGUGGUUGGGGAUGAGCUCGCGGCCUAUCAGCUUGUUGGUGGGGUAAUGGCCUACCAAGGCGGCGACGGGUAGCCGGCCUGGGAGGGUGGACGGCCACAUUGGGACUGAGAGACGGCCCAGACUCCUACGGGAGGCAGCAGUGGGGAAUAGUGCACAAUGGGCGGAAGCCUGAUGCAGCGACGCCGCGUGGGGGAUGACGGCCUUCGGGUUGUAAACUCCUUUCGACCGCGAGGAAGCCACCUGGUUGGAAGGGUGGUGACGGUAGUGGUAGAAGAAGCACCGGCUAACUACGUG